GGUCAAGCGAAUAAGCGCACACGGUGGAUGCCUUGGCGGUCAGAGGCGAUGAAGGACGUGGCAGCCUGCGAAAAGUAUCGGGGAGCUGGCAACAAGCUUUGAUCCGGUAAUGUCCGAAUGGGGAAACCCACCCGCUUGCGGGUAUCCUGCAGUGAAUACAUAGCUGCUGGAAGCGAACCUGGUGAACUGAAAUAUCUAAGUAACCAGAGGAAAAGAAAUCAACCGAGAUUCCGUAAGUAGCGACGAGCGAACGCGGACUAGCCCUUAAGCUGAUUUGGUUCUAGGAAAACGCUCUGGAAAGAGCGGCCAUAGAAGGUGAUAGCCCUGUAUCUGAAAGGGCCAUUUCAGUGAAGACGAGUAGGGCGGGGCACGUGAAACCCUGUCUGAACAUGGGGGGACCAUCCUCCAAGGCUAAAUACUACUGACCGACCGAUAGUGAACCAGUACCGUGAGGGAAAGGCGAAAAGAACCCCGGAGAGGGGAGUGAAAUAGAUCCUGAAACCGUGUGCGUACAAGCAGUAGGAGCCUCGCAAGGGGUGACUGCGUACCUUUUGUAUAAUGGGUCAGCGACUUACUGUUCGUGGCAAGCUUAACCGUAUAGGGGAGGCGAAGGGAAACCGAGUCUGAUAAGGGCGCAUAGUCGCGGGCAGUAGACCCGAAACCGGGUGAUCUAGUCAUGGCCAGGGUGAAGGUGCCGUAACAGGUACUGGAGGCCCGAACCCACGUCUGUUGCAAAAGACGGGGAUGAGCUGUGAUUAGGAGUGAAAAGCUAAUCGAACCCGGAGAUAGCUGGUUCUCCUCGAAAGCUAUUUAGGUAGCGCCUCAUAUGUAUCCUCUCGGGGGUAGAGCACUGUUAUGGCUAGGGGGUCAUCGCGACUUACCAAACCAUUGCAAACUCCGAAUACCGAGACGGACUGUAUGGGAGACACACGGCGGGUGCUAACGUCCGUCGUGAAAAGGGAAACAACCCAGACCCACAGCUAAGGUCCCAAAUUUUGUGCUAAGUGGAAAACCAUGUGGAAAGGCACAGACAGCCAGGAGGUUGGCUUAGAAGCAGCCACCCUUUAAAGAAAGCGUAAUAGCUCACUGGUCGAGUCGGUCUGCGGGGAAGAUUUAACGGGGCUAAGCACAGAACCGAAGCUUGGGGUGUGCAUAUUUAUAUGUACGCGGUAGAGGAGCGUUCCGUAAGCCGUUGAAGGUGGAUUGAGAAGUCUGCUGGAGGUAUCGGAAGUGCGAAUGCUGACAUGAGUAACGAUAAUGCGGGUGAAAAACCCGCACGCCGAAAGCCCAAGGUUUCCUUGCGCAACGUUAAUCGGCGCAGGGUGAGUCGGCCCCUAAGGCGAGGACGAAAGUCGUAGUCGAUGGGAAGCAGGUUAAUAUUCCUGCACCUCGCGUAAGUGCGAUGGAGGGACGGAGAAGGUUAGGCAUACCGGGCGUUGGUUGUCCCGGGGAAAGGCGGUAGGUUUGGAUCUUUGGCAAAUCCGGGAUCCUUCAAGACCGAGCACCGAGACGAGCCUUUAUGGCGAAGUUGCUGAUACCACGCUUCCAGGAAAAGCUCCUAAGCUUCAGCUUACGCAGACCGUACCGUAAACCGACACAGGUGGGUAGGAUGAGAAUUCUCAGGCGCUUGAGAGAACUCGGGUGAAGGAACUAGGCAACAUGGCACCGUAACUUCGGGAGAAGGUGCACCCUUUUUGGUGGCUCGUGCGAGCUAUAGCUGAAGAGGGUCGCAGUAACCAGGCCGCUGCGACUGUUUAUCAAAAACACAGCACUCUGCAAACACGAAAGUGGACGUAUAGGGUGUGACGCCUGCCCGGUGCUGGAAGGUUAAUUGAUGGGGUCAGCCGCAAGGCGAAGCUCUUGAUCGAAGCCCCAGUAAACGGCGGCCGUAACUAUAACGGUCCUAAGGUAGCGAAAUUCCUUGUCGGGUAAGUUCCGACCUGCACGAAUGGCGUAACGACAGCGGCGCUGUCUCCACCCGAGACUCAGUGAAAUUGAAAUCGCUGUGAAGAUGCAGCGUUCCCGUGGCAAGACGGAAAGACCCCGUGAACCUUUACUAUAGCUUUACACUGAACGUUGAGUUCGUCUGUGUAGGAUAGGUGGGAGGCUAUGAAACCAUGGCGCUAGCUGUGG
Molecule: ribosomal RNA, 2133 nt
Filed under: Stenotrophomonas sp. 1278
Lineage: Bacteria; Pseudomonadati; Pseudomonadota; Gammaproteobacteria; Lysobacterales; Lysobacteraceae
Also listed under: 1 other name
Description: 23S ribosomal RNA
Rfam family: Bacterial large subunit ribosomal RNA
Source: RNAcentral